Molecule: ribosomal RNA, 459 nt
Filed under: bacterium FCS011
Lineage: Bacteria
Description: bacterial SSU rRNA
Rfam family: Bacterial small subunit ribosomal RNA
Source: RNAcentral
AUGAACGCUAGUUACAGGCUUAACACAUGCAAGUCGAGGGGCAGCAGGGCAAUAGCUUGCUAUUGUUGCUGGCGACCGGCGCACGGGUGAGUAACGCGUAUCCAACCUACCCCGCGGUCAGGGACAGCCCGGCGAAAGUCGGAUUAAUACCUGAUGCAGUCAGAAGAGGGCAUUUGAUUUUGACGAAAGAUUCAUCGCCUCGGGAUGGGGAUGCGUAGGAUUAGGCAGGCGGCGGGGUAACGGCCCACCGCGCCGACGAUCCUUAGGGGUUCUGAGAGGAAGGUCCCCCACACUGGUACUGAGACACGGACCAGACUCCUACGGGAGGCAGCAGUGAGGAAUAUUGGUCAAUGGGCGCGAGCCUGAACCAGCCAAGUAGCGUGCAGGACGACGGCCCUAUGGGUUGUAAACUGCUUUUAUGCGGGGAUAAAGUGCGGCACGUGUGCCGUUGUAGGUACC